RNAcentral lists this long non-coding RNA (632 nucleotides) under Phoenix dactylifera (date palm). RNAcentral's name for it is "long non-coding RNA (PDAC_LNC012845)". Lineage: Eukaryota; Viridiplantae; Streptophyta; Magnoliopsida; Arecales; Arecaceae. The record is from RNAcentral.
GAGGCUCGACCGUAGAGUCCCAAACUCCCUCGACCUCGGGAAGUAUCGCAGGACGAUGAAACAUCGGCUUGACGCAAGAAUCCCUCGACUAAGGUCGGGAUGCCCGAGGGUCGACCGUAGAGAACCAGACUCCCUCGACCUCGGGAAGGCCCGUGAGGGUGGAAAGGGUGGCUCCACCCGGGGCGCCACAAAGUGGACCCCCGGGAGCGGUCGACGAUCCCCGAUCCCCGAAGCGAGCGAUCCCUCGACUAAGGUCGGGAUGCCCCGAGGGUCGACCGUAGAGAACCAGACUCCCUCGACCUCGGGAAGCGUCGCCGGUCGGUAGAGCGUGCCCAGACCAGCCGACCUGACGAACGAUCCCUCGACUAAGGUCGGGAUGCCCCGAGGGUCGACCGUAGAGAACCAGACUCCCUCGACCUCGGGAGGUAUCACAGGUCAGCAAAGCGCCACGAACCCGCCGACCUGACGUGAGAUCCCUCGACCAAGGUUGAGGCGCUCCGAGGUCCGACCAUAGGGUCUUAAGCCCCUCGAUCUCAAAAGGGCUACAAAUCAACAGAGCCUCCCAGAUCCUCUCAACUCCGGCAGGAGUCGCCGGGUCCAUGGGAAGCCCGAGCCCCUUUUACAAGUCAAAA